Molecule: ribosomal RNA, 362 nt
Filed under: uncultured rumen bacterium
Lineage: Bacteria
Description: bacterial SSU rRNA
Rfam family: Bacterial small subunit ribosomal RNA
Source: RNAcentral
UUGGCUCAGGAUGAACGCUGGCGGCGUGCCUAACACAUGCAAGUCGAACGGACCCAUGGAAAUGAUUAGCUUGCUAUGAAAUUCCGGAAGGUUAGUGGCGGACGGGUGAGUAACGCGUGGGCAACCUGCCCUGUACUGGGGGAUAGCAGCUGGAAACGGCUGGUAAUACCGCAUAAGCGCACAGUACCGCAUGGUACAGUGUGAAAAGCUCCGACGGUACAGGAUGGGCCCGCGUCCGAUUAGCCAGUUGGCGGGGUAACGGCCCACCAAAGCAACGAUCGGUAGCCGGCCUGAGAGGGCGGACGGCCACAUUGGGACUGAGACACGGCCCAGACUCCUACGGGAGGCAGCAGUGGGGAAUA